AACGAACGCUGGCGGCAUGCCUAACACAUGCAAGUCGAACGAGACCUUCGGGUCUAGUGGCGCACGGGUGCGUAACGCGUGGGAACCUGCCUUUAGGUUCGGAAUAACUCAGAGAAAUUUGAGCUAAUACCGGAUGAUGUCUUCGGACCAAAGAUUUAUCGCCUUUAGGUGGGCCCGCGUUGGAUUCGCUAGUUGGUGGGGUAAAGGCCUACAAAGGCGACGAUCCAUAGCUGGUCUGGGAGGAGGAUCAGCAACACUGGGACUGGGACCCGGCCCGAACCCUACGGGAGGGGGGAAGGGGGGAAAAUGGAACAAGGGGCGAAGGCUGAAUCAGCCAAGGCCGGGGAAGUGUGAAAGGCUUUAGGUUGGAAAGGCUCUUUAACCCGGGAGGUUAUGACGGGAACUGGAGAAUAAGCUCCGGCUAACUCCGUG
Molecule: ribosomal RNA, 432 nt
Filed under: uncultured bacterium
Lineage: Bacteria
Description: partial 16S ribosomal RNA
Rfam family: Bacterial small subunit ribosomal RNA
Source: RNAcentral